AUGAAGCCCCCCUCAAGAUGAGAUUUCCCAACUUCGGUUAUAAGAUCCCUCAAAGAUGAUGAGGUUAAUAGGUUCGAGGUGGAAGCAUGGUGACAUGUGGAGCUGACGAAUACUAAUCGAUCGAAGACUUAAUCAAAA
Molecule: ribosomal RNA, 138 nt
Filed under: Staphylococcus aureus
Lineage: Bacteria; Bacillati; Bacillota; Bacilli; Caryophanales; Staphylococcaceae
Description: partial 23S ribosomal RNA
Rfam family: Bacterial large subunit ribosomal RNA
Source: RNAcentral